Molecule: ribosomal RNA, 232 nt
Filed under: uncultured bacterium
Lineage: Bacteria
Description: partial 16S ribosomal RNA
Rfam family: Bacterial small subunit ribosomal RNA
Source: RNAcentral
UGAGCAAUCUGCCCUUCUCUUUGGAAUAAGCGUUGGAAACGACGUCUAAUGCCGAAUACGACCUCCUUUCGCAUGAUUGGAGGUGGAAAGCUCCGGCGGAGAAGGAUGAGCUCGCUGCCUAUCAGCUAGUUGGUGUGGGUAAUGGCCCACCAAGGCGACGACGGGUAGCCGGCCUGAGAGGGUGACCGGCCACACUGGGACUGAGACACGGCCCAGACUCCUACGGGAGCAG